GGCUGGUCCAAUGGUAGUGGGUUAUCAGAACUUAUUAACAUUAGUGUCACUAAAGUUGGUAUACAACCCCCCACUGCUAAAUUUGACUGGUUUUAA
This 96-nucleotide Y RNA is filed under the name Propithecus coquereli (Coquerel's sifaka). RNAcentral describes it as "Y RNA (ENSPCOG00000007933.1)". It matches the Rfam family "Y RNA". Rfam says of the family: Y RNAs are components of the Ro ribonucleoprotein particle (Ro RNP), in association with Ro60 and La proteins. The Y RNAs and Ro60 and La proteins are well conserved, but the function of the Ro RNP is not known. The record is from Rfam by way of RNAcentral. Lineage: Eukaryota; Metazoa; Chordata; Mammalia; Primates; Indriidae.